GGUUACUUAGAUGGUUCAGUUCCCUGCGUUCGGGGAUGAGCCCAAACCGCAAUAAGCGGGGUUGUAGGACUGCGACAUGAGUUUGUAAAAACCGAAAGGUAGGAGAACCGCAUGGAAAGGCGGGCCGGAGCGCGUGAGAGCCGCGUAUCCGAAACCGGACGGACUCUAGCAGAAUCCUGAGUACGGCGGGGCACGGGAAACCCAGCCGGAAUCCGGGUCGACCACGAUCCAAGGCUAAAUACUAGGCAGCUACCGAUAGCGGAGAAGUACCGUGAGGGAAAGGCGAAAAGAACCCCGGCGAGGGGAGUGAAAUAGAACCUGAAACCAUAGACUGACAAGAUGUCACAGCCCGCGAGGGUGGUGGCGUGUCUUUUGUAGAAUAAACCUGCGAGUUACGGUAUGCAGCGAGGUUAAGGGAUGGGAGUCCCGGAGCCGGAGCGAAAGCGAGUCUGAACAGGGCGCAAAGUUGCAUGCCGUAGACCCGAAGCCAAGGUGAUCUUAUCAUGGGCAGGCUGAAGGCAGGGUAAAACCUGUUGGAGGGCCGAACAGUAAUCUGUUAAAAAAGGUAGUGAUGACCUGUGAUAAGGAGUGAAAGGCUAAACAAACCUGGAGAUAGCUGGCUCUCCCCGAAAUGCCUUUAGGGACAGCCUCAUACAAAGAUGCCGGAGGUAAAGCACUGGAUGGGAGCGGGGAUGUCAAAGUCUACCAAUUCCAAUCAAACUCUGAAUGCCGGCAUCCAACGUAUGGGAGUGAGACUGUGUGCGCCAAGGUUCAUAGUCAAGAGGGAAACAGCCCAAACCGUCAGCUAAGGUCCCGAAAUAGUGCUAAGUGUUAAAUGAAGUCCGGAUGCACAGACAGCCAGGAGGUUGGCUCAGAAGCAGCCAUUCCUUGAAAGAGUGCGUAACAGCUCACUGGUCGAGCAUGCGGGCGCAGACAAUGUAACGGGGCUAAGCAUUAUACCGAAGCUGCGGAUCUUGCGCAUAGGCGCAAGGUGGUAGGGGAGCAUGCCGUCAACCGGCGAAGGCGGACCCGCGAGGGCCGCUGGAGGAAACGGCAGAGAGAAUGCAGGCAUAAGUAACGAAAAGACGGGUGUGAUUCCCGUCCGCCGAAAACAUAAGGUUUCCAGGGUAAAGGCAAUCUGCCCUGGGUAAGUCGGAGCCUAAGUCCAGGCCGAAAGGCGUAGGCGAUGGUAAUCCGGUUCAAAAUCCGGAACCUCCGGCAUUUCGAUGCCACGACGCAUGAGGCGACGUCCGGCGGGAGAACGGUAGUUCCCGUCCAAGCAUUGAGCCGUCAAGGGAGGGGGUUAAAUGAUCCUCCCAGGCGAGAUGUGACAGCGAGCUGAGAGAAAGUCGAAGCGAAGCGGGCAGAGUCAAGGUGCCGAGAAAGAGUGGCUAGGCAAGGUGCCGGAGUCCGUACCGUAAACGGACACACGUAUGUAGGAUGAGUAAUCUAAGGCGCUCGAGCGACCUCGCGUUAAGGAACUCGGCAAAAUGCGCACGUAACUUCGGAAGAAGUGCGGCUCCUGUUUGAAAGGAUAAGGAGCGGCAGAAAGCAGGCCCAGGCGACUGUUUAUCAAAAACACAGCCAUCUGCGAACCAGCAAUGGGACGUAUAGGUGGUGACACCUGCCCGGUGCCGGAAGGUUAAGGGGAGAAGUCAGCCGCAAGGCGAAGCCUCGAACCGAAGCCCCGGUAAACGGCGGCCGUAACUAUAACGGUCCUAAGGUAGCGAAAUUCCUUGUCGGGUAAG
This 1748-nucleotide ribosomal RNA is filed under the name human gut metagenome. RNAcentral's name for it is "bacterial LSU rRNA". It matches the Rfam family "Bacterial large subunit ribosomal RNA", at positions 216 to 1980 of the family's 2925-position model. The record is from RNAcentral.